This is a long non-coding RNA of Centruroides sculpturatus (bark scorpion), 332 nucleotides long. RefSeq lists it as uncharacterized. Lineage: Eukaryota; Metazoa; Arthropoda; Arachnida; Scorpiones; Buthidae. The transcript is spliced from 3 exons. The record is from RefSeq and is a predicted model, not a curated record.
UAAAAAUAUAAUAAAAUACGUAUAAAAGAUCGUCAUCACUUACAAUAACGCUCCUCUCAUCUUCCAAGAAAUUACAUUAAAAGAAAGAAUGAUGCGAUCGACUGCAUUUGCUUUACUUUUGAUUGUAUUAUUCGGAAUAUUUUUUGAAGCAGAUGCCGGUUUGUGUAGUUGGAUUUGCAAGAAAGUUUGCACUUCAGAAAAAUAUUGUCGGUUUGUUUGCAAAGUCCUCUGCACUGAUCCAGAUUCUACGACGACUUUUACUUUUCCCUCUCAUUGAAGACUAACAAGAACUAUCGUAACAUGAACUAAUAAAGUAUUUUUAAAAUCUUUAA